CGCCCUUGAGUUUGAUCAUGGCUCAGAUUGAACGCUGGCGGCAGGCCUAACACAUGCAAGUCGAGCGGCAGCACGGGUACCUUGUACCUGGUGGCGAGCGGCGGACGGGUGAGUAAUGCCUAGGAAUCUGCCUGGUAGUGGGGGAUAACGCUCGGAAACGGACGCUAAUACCGCAUACGUCCUACGGGAGAAAGCAGGGGACCUUCGGGCCUUGCGCUAUCAGAUGAGCCUAGGUCGGAUUAGCUAGUUGGUGAGGUAAUGGCUCACCAAGGCGACGAUCCGUAACUGGUCUGAGAGGAUGAUCAGUCACACUGGAACUGAGACACGGUCCAGACUCCUACGGGAGGCAGCAGUGGGGAAUAUUGGACAAUGGGCGAAAGCCUGAUCCAGCCAUGCUUUUUGUGUGAAGAAGGUCUUCGGAUUGUAAAGCACUUUAAGUUGGGAGGAAGGGCAGUUACCUAAUACGUAUCUGUUUUGACGUUACCGACAGAAUAAGCACCGGCUAACUCUGUGCCAGCAGCCGCGGUCC
Molecule: ribosomal RNA, 529 nt
Filed under: uncultured Pseudomonas sp.
Lineage: Bacteria; Pseudomonadati; Pseudomonadota; Gammaproteobacteria; Pseudomonadales; Pseudomonadaceae
Description: bacterial SSU rRNA
Rfam family: Bacterial small subunit ribosomal RNA
Source: RNAcentral